Hydra vulgaris (swiftwater hydra) is the source of this 680-nucleotide long non-coding RNA. RefSeq lists it as uncharacterized. Lineage: Eukaryota; Metazoa; Cnidaria; Hydrozoa; Anthoathecata; Hydridae. The record is from RefSeq and is a predicted model, not a curated record.
CUAAUAUUUAAAUGUAGGAUUGAGAAUGCAUCUAUAUCUAUUUUAGGAUUUGAAGUACUUAAGAUGUAAUAUAAUGGACUUAUGUUUUUCAUUUCAUCGCAACUAUUAUAAAAAUAUCUGGAUAUGAAUGACUAGAAUUUCGCCAAUGUACAUCGAACCGCAUGAACAUUUUAGCUGGUAUACGCCAGGGUCUGUGUUUAGUGGUAGUUUAGUUUUAUUGUUGCAGAAAAUAUUUUUUAAAUUGGGAGUUAAUGUAAAAAUAACCAAAACUUCGUAAAGAAUUUCGAAAGCAAAACAUAAAGGUGCCGUCAUCUUUUUGACGUUUUUGCAAAAAAGGUUUUGCAAAAACAUGCAGAGGUUUACACUCACCCCGCAGGUGGCCGGUAACAACAGCUGGUUAAUGAGUUUUUUGUUUGUUUGUUUUCAAUUUCAAUUGUUAAAACUUCUUUAUCGCUAUUAGAAAUGCUCAAAUCGCCUCUAAAAACAAGCCUUAGUGCGCAUAAAUUAGAAAUCCACCACUUCGUUUGUUUAUUUGUCUCUCCAAAGAAAUAAUAUUAAAAUGCGGAAUUCGGAAAAAUUCAGUGAACAUUUUUUUCCUGAUUGGUUUCAAGUGAAAAGUCUUUGUUAACAAAAAUAUUUUUUUCUUUUAUUAGAUUUAGUUAUAUUAAUAUUUUCUUGAC